This 528-nucleotide ribosomal RNA is filed under the name uncultured Neochlamydia sp. RNAcentral's name for it is "bacterial SSU rRNA". It matches the Rfam family "Bacterial small subunit ribosomal RNA", at positions 521 to 1046 of the family's 1533-position model. The record is from RNAcentral. Lineage: Bacteria; Pseudomonadati; Chlamydiota; Chlamydiia; Parachlamydiales; Parachlamydiaceae.
UAAUACGGAGGGUGCAAGCGUUAAUCGGAAUUAUUGGGCGUAAAGGGCGCGUAGGCGGAUUUAUAAGUCUGGUUUGAAAUACCGUGGCUCAACCACGGUGCGGGACUGGAAACUAUAGAUCUAGAGGGUAGACGGAGAAACGGAAUUCCAAGUGUAGCGGUGAAAUGCGUAGAUAUUUGGAAGAACACCGGUGGCGAAAGCGGUUUUUCUAGUUUAUUCCUGACGCUGAGGCGCGAGAGCAAGGGGGAGCAAACAGGAUUAGAUACCCUGGUAGUCCUUGCCGUAAACGUUGUAUACUUGAUGUAACUGGGCUCAACCCUAGUUGUGUCGUAGCUAACGCGAUAAGUAUACCGCCUGGGGAGUACGCUCGCAAGGGUGAAACUCAAAAGAAUUGACGGGGGCCCGCACAAGCAGUGGAGCAUGUGGUUUAAUUCGAUGCAACGCGAAGAACCUUACCCAGAUUUGAAAUACAGAGGAAUUUGGCAGAAAAUGUCAAAGCCCGCAAGGGUCUUUGUACAGGUGCUGCAU